This is a long non-coding RNA of Neofelis nebulosa (Clouded leopard), 1135 nucleotides long. RefSeq lists it as uncharacterized. Lineage: Eukaryota; Metazoa; Chordata; Mammalia; Carnivora; Felidae. The record is from RefSeq and is a predicted model, not a curated record. The transcript is spliced from 5 exons.
UCUAAAGGCCAGGAGGUGGAAAGGGCUUGUUUGGGGAUUCCCCCCCACCCCCACCUCCGGCGCUGGCACAACCUGAGGUCCUGCCAGGCCUCCGCCAUCAGUCACCCACUACCAGCCAGGCCUGGGGAGGGGGGGGCUGAGUCUGCGACCCUGGUGGGCAGGUGACACUGACCACCGCUUCCUCCGGACUCAAUCAGAACACAGCCGGUCGCAUCCAAGAGGUGCCAAGUGGGGACCCGGCGCCUGCCCAGGUUCUGCAAGAGCGUGGGCCUCGUGGAGGCAGGGAGGAAGCACGUGUGUGUCUCAGUACAGGGACUCGCUCGGAAAAGUCUUUGAGAACUCGUGACACAAGUAUUUGAAAGAUGGAGACACUUUUUUUAGUGGAAUAUUUGUACCUCCUCCCCCCGCCCCGCCCAACUCCUGCGAUCUACUAUCCGUAAGUAUACAGUGAAAAGCCUUCACCCCAGAAGAACAUCAGACAAGUCCCCUGAGGAACCAUCUAUAAAGUAUCUGACCAGUCCUCAAAACUGUCAAGGCCACCAAAAACAAGGCAAGACUGAGAAACUGCCACAGCCAGGAGGAGCCUAAGGAGACAUGACCAUUAAAUGUGAUGUGGGAGCCUGCAUGGGAUCCUGGAACAGAAAAAGGACAUUUGGGGAAAACUAAGGAAAUCCGAGGCAAGAUGGACUUCAGGCAAUAAUAUAUCAAUGCUGGUUCAUUAACUGUAACCAAAGUACCACACUAACCCUGGAAAGACCCUCAUUCCUGUGGCCAGUUCCCUGUUCAUGGACUUGGGCUCUGCGAUGUCUUGCAGUCCUAACACGACUUGAGGACAAAACCGAGGGCAUAACCCUGGCAAACAGUGGACUUCGAAUCUCUCUACCUCGCUGUCCUUGAAGUUGGCCCGCCAGCAAACUGCCUGAGUUUUUGAAGCACUUCAAACUUCCAGCCGUCAGUGCAUGCCCCCAAAGCCCUUCUGCACGCCGGUCGUUGGCUGGAGUUCAUUCUUAAUUUACGUUUCUUAAGGUGACCAGCUUCCUACGUGGCCAAAAGAUGAGGUGUUCGGCAUCUGUUACGAGCCUGGGCCGUGAGCCUCUGGCGAAGAUUUCUCACUCUCUCCAUAAGAUCCUGUUCC